RNAcentral lists this ribosomal RNA (871 nucleotides) under Sporobolomyces roseus. RNAcentral's name for it is "partial large subunit ribosomal RNA". It matches the Rfam family "Eukaryotic large subunit ribosomal RNA", at positions 74 to 964 of the family's 3401-position model. The record is from RNAcentral. Lineage: Eukaryota; Fungi; Basidiomycota; Microbotryomycetes; Sporidiobolales; Sporidiobolaceae.
AUUCCCCUAGUAGCGGCGAGCGAAGCGGGAAAAGCUCAAAUUUGUAAUCUGGCGUCUACGACGUCCGAGUUGUAAUCUCGAGAAGUGUUUUCCGUGAUAGACCGCAUACAAGUCUCUUGGAACAGAGCGUCAUAGUGGUGAGAACCCAGUACACGAUGCGGAUGCCUAUUACUUUGUGAUACACUUUCGAAGAGUCGAGUUGUUUGGGAAUGCAGCUCAAAUUGGGUGGUAAAUUCCAUCUAAAGCUAAAUAUUGGCGAGAGACCGAUAGCGAACAAGUACCGUGAGGGAAAGAUGAAAAGCACUUUGGAAAGAGAGUUAACAGUACGUGAAAUUGUUGGAAGGGAAACACAUGCAGCCAGACUUGCUAUUCGGGGCAACUCGAUUGGCAGGCCCGCAUCAGUUUUUCGGGGCGGAAAAGCAUAGAGAGAAGGUAGCAAUUUCGGUUGUGUUAUAGCUCUUUAUUGGAUUCGCCCUGGGGGACUGAGGAACGCAGCGUGCUUUUAGCAUAAGCUUCGGCUUAUCCACGCUUAGGAUGCGGGUGUAAUGGCUGUAUAUGACCCGUCUUGAAACACGGACCAAGGAGUCUAACAUGCUUGCGAGUAUUUGGGUGUCAAACCCGGAUGCGCAAUGAAAGUGAAUGGAGGUGGGAAGCGCAAGCUGCACCAUCGACCGAUCUGGAUCUUUUGAGAUGGAUUUGAGUAAGAGCAAGUAUGUUGGGACCCGAAAGAUGGUGAACUAUGCCUGAAUAGGGCGAAGCCAGAGGAAACUCUGGUGGAGGCUCGUAGCGGUUCUGACGUGCAAAUCGAUCGUCAAAUUUGGGUAUAGGGGCGAAAGACUAAUCGAACCAUCUAGUAGCUGGUUCCUGCCGA